Molecule: non-coding RNA, 217 nt
Organism: Pelobates cultripes (western spadefoot toad)
Lineage: Eukaryota; Metazoa; Chordata; Amphibia; Anura; Pelobatidae
Source: the annotation of a GenBank genome assembly
UCCAUUAUCCCCUAAACAGCAACUUCAGUGCUGACAGAUUUAGUUAGUUUUUUUUUUUGUUUUUUUUUUUAAACACCUAAUCCAGGCAAAAAAUAAUGGGGGUUUAGUUACAUUAUAUGAUCAUACAUUAUUUUUUGCCUGGAUUAGGUGUUUAAAAAAUAAAUAAAUAAAUAAAUAAAUCUGUCAGCACUGAAGUUGCUGUUUAUGGGAUAAUGGA